ACUCAAGCGCACGCAAUUCUUCUAUUCUAACUGUUGUGUAAUAUAUAGUAAAGGAACACAUACAGGAGAAAACAUAUAUAAUACAGAUUUCAGAAUGGCUAUGGUAAAAAAAAUUAUGGGACAAUGUAUGGUGGAAGCAUUUUGUUCUGAUGUUUCAAGAUAUUCUUCACAACCUAAUUACCGUUUCUGCAUUAAGAGGCAGAAAACAGUUUCCUUGCUCCCCACUUUCUCGGAGCUGAAGACGAUGUUGCAACUACCUGCCCCUUAUUCACAACCAUCCUUUAUCAAAUUAGAUGAGUCUUCCAAGAGAGACCUUGCCUUGAAUCCGAUCGAUGAGUAUGACCAUAACGGGAACUGUAACUAUCAAGAUCAAUAGUGAGAUUACUGAUCAUGAGGAGAUGGUGGCCAUGAUGCUUCAACACUUAAGAUACUUUCAACAAUGACGAAUAAUUGUCAUGCAGCUAGUUAGCACAGAAAUUGACCCAAGAACCAUGGAGCCAAAACUGAGCAACCCAGUUGCAUUGAACUGGUUGAAACACUUUAAUGUGGGGGAUGAGAGGUCCACAUACAAAGUAGAGUUUGAGAUAGAUUCAGAUUUGGGGUUCUCGGGAGCUAUUACUGUGACAAACAAAUACGACAAAGAGAUCUUUUUGGAAGGCUUUUCCAUUGAAGGUGCAUGUUGUGGAUAUUGCCUGCAAUUCUUGGAUUCAACCCUGAAGGUUCAUCCAGAGGAGAGAAUUUUCUUCAGUAACAAGGUACUUUGAAAUCUAUUGCCAUCGAGCUGAGUCUUCCAGAAUCCAAACAGGUCCUUACCCCUCCAUUGGAUGCCACCUCUCAUUGGUUGUAGCAAAUUGCCAAAGCACAUGUUUGCUUCAAUGACGCUGGUGUUCACCAACUUGUCCAUCAUUGGUUGAGAAUCCACGCUUGCAUGGAGCCAUUCAUCAUAGCUGCUCAUCGCCAUCUAAGUGUUAUGCACCCGGUUUUCAAACUCCUAAAGCCUCAUUUGAAACACACAUUGCAAAUAAAUGCAUUGGCUCUCAUAUCAACGAAGGAGGCAUCAUUGAGUCUGAUUUUUCUGCCGGCAAACACAGCACUGAAAUAAUCUCAGCUGCUUACAAAGAUUGGUGGCGUUUUGACAUGGAAGCCCUUCUUGCUGAUCUCAUCAGAAGGGGACUAGCAGAACCAGACCCAACACAACCCUAUGGACUAAGACUACUCAUUGAAGACUACCCUUAUGCAAAUGAUGGACUUCUUUGUAUGGUUUGCUUUGGAGAACUUGGUUAGGACUUACGUGAACUACUAUUACCGUGAUGGGAACAUGGUUCGGUCAGACAGUGAGCUUCAAGCAUGGUAUAGUGAGGUCAUCAAUGUGGGCCAUGCUGAUCAUGCAAAUGCGAGUUGGUGGCCCACACUCUCCACUCCCAAUGAUCACACUCAUAUGGGUUGCUUCGGUUCAGCAUUCAGCGGUGAAUUUUGGGCAAUAACCUCUUGGUGGGUAUGUCCCAAUGCGUUCCCCACACAUGAAGAAGUUGUUGCCCAAAGAGGAGGAUUCAGAAUACAAAGAUUUUUUGGAGGACCCAGAAGGAUACUUGUUGUCUUGCUUGCCAAAUUUGUUGGAAACCACCAAGUUUCUAGCUGUAGUUAACAUACUUUCUCAGCAUUGGCCGGAUGAAGAGUACAUAGGGCAGAGGAAGGACCUGUCAGAUUGGACUGGUGACACAGAAAUCAUACAGGCAUUUUAUGAGUUUUCCAUGGAUAUAAAGAUAAUAGAAAAGGAGAUUGACAAGAGAAAUAAAGACCCAACACGUAGAAAUAGAUGUGGUGCUGGAAUUCCACCAUAUGAGUCGCUAAUAGCCUCCUCUGGUCCUGGAGUUACAGGUAGAGGGGUGCCGAAUAGCAUAAGUAUAUAGAAGUCAUGUAAGUUGUAAAAUUUGUUGUAUAAAAUUUAUCUAUUAAUAGCAUUAUCCAUAGACAAAAUGAAGUUGCAAAAGUAUGUACUUUUGUAGCAGAGAUAAUGGAAUAAACAAAGGCUGAAUACUAUUUUGAGUAA
Glycine soja is the source of this 2050-nucleotide long non-coding RNA. RefSeq lists it as uncharacterized. The record is from RefSeq and is a predicted model, not a curated record. Lineage: Eukaryota; Viridiplantae; Streptophyta; Magnoliopsida; Fabales; Fabaceae. The transcript is spliced from 5 exons.